Molecule: ribosomal RNA, 548 nt
Filed under: uncultured Alphaproteobacteria bacterium
Lineage: Bacteria; Pseudomonadati; Pseudomonadota; Alphaproteobacteria
Description: bacterial SSU rRNA
Rfam family: Bacterial small subunit ribosomal RNA
Source: RNAcentral
GCAGCAVUGGGGAAUCUUAGACAAUGGGCGCAAGCCUGAUCUAGCCAUGCCGCGUGUGUGAUGAAGGUCUUAGGAUCGUAAAGCACUUUCGCCAGGGAUGAUAAUGACAGUACCUGGUAAAGAAACCCCGGCUAACUCCGUGCCAGCAGCCGCGGUAAUACGGAGGGGGUUAGCGUUGUUCGGAAUUACUGGGCGUAAAGCGUACGUAGGCGGAUUGGAAAGUURGGGGUGAAAUCCCAGGGCUCAACCCUGGAACUGCCUUCCAAAACUAUCAGUCUAGAGUUCGAGAGAGGUGAGUGGAAUUCCAAGUGUAGAGGUGAAAUUCGUAGAUAUUUGGAGGAACACCAGUGGCGAAGGCGGCUCACUGGCUCGAUACUGACGCUGAGGUACGAAAGUGUGGGGAGCAAACAGGAUUAGAUACCCUGGUAGUCCACACCGUAAACGAUGAAUGCCAGUCGUCGGGCAGUAUACUGUUCGGUGACACACCUAACGGAUUAASCAUUCCGCCUGGGGAGUACGGUCGCMAGAUUAANACUCAAAGGAAUUGA